CUCACCGUGAUGUCAGCCUGCAAUGGUGUGCAGUGAGACGGACCGGAGGAGGGAGGAGAGGCGCACACCCACUUCCUUGGUCUGGAUCUCUGCUAACCUGGAGGCGAACCCUGUCCUCUUGCCGAAGGACUGAUCAUGGUGAAGCCCCGUCAACAGCCUCCUCAAUCCCAAACCAGCUCAGACAUGGCGUUUCUGAUCCCGCCACCUAUCGAAGAGGUUAUGAUAGGGAUGGGACAGUUUCUGGAUGGAGCAGUGUUUACCUCACUCCAAGUCCUGUAUCACCUCACCUCCUCAUGUGCUGAUCUUCACGAGGCUGAAGCUGAAGUUAGAGAUGUUCACCUAACUGUGAGCCUCACUGACGGGGCUUGUUUUCACAUUGGUUGCCGAACCGUCCAUGUGUUUUCUCAGUCACUCCUACGGCAGGAAUCCUUGAAAGAGGAGCAACCUGCUCAGGAGAAACUCUUCAUCGAAAGUGAGAGGAAGUGCACCCACUACAUCGUCUUCUGGAAAAGGGUCAAUAUUAUCAAAACCACCAAACAUACAUUUUGAAUGGAUAAUCACUAACAGAAAAUAAAAAU
This is a long non-coding RNA of Bos taurus (domestic cattle), 578 nucleotides long. Lineage: Eukaryota; Metazoa; Chordata; Mammalia; Artiodactyla; Bovidae. The record is from Ensembl.